RNAcentral lists this ribosomal RNA (493 nucleotides) under uncultured bacterium. RNAcentral's name for it is "partial 16S ribosomal RNA". It matches the Rfam family "Bacterial small subunit ribosomal RNA", at positions 29 to 507 of the family's 1533-position model. The record is from RNAcentral.
ACGAACGCUGGCGGCGCGCUUAACACAUGCAAGUCGAACGGAAAGGCCUGCUUUCCCUUGUGGAUUGCGGGUACUCGAGUGGCGAACGGGUGAGUAACACGUGAGUGAUCUGCCCCCAACUUGGGUAUAAGCCUGGGAAACUGGGUCUAAUUCCCGAUAGGACUGCAGGGUGGUGCCUGUGGUGGAAAACGAUUUUCUAGUGGUUGGGGAUGAGCUCGCGGCCUAUCAGCUUGUUGGUGGGGUAAUGGCCUACCAAGGCGGCGACGGGUAGCCGGCCUGAGAGGGUGGACGGCCACAUUGGGACUGAGAUACGGCCCAGACUCCUACGGGAGGCAGCAGUGGGGAAUAUUGCGCAAUGGGCGGAAGCCUGAUGCAGCGACGCCGCGUGGGGGAUGACGGCCUUCGGGUUGUAAACUCCUUUCGACCGCGAGGAAGCCACCUGGUUGGAAGGGUGGUGACGGUAGUGGUAGAAGAAGCACCGGCUAACUACGUG